AUACGGAGGAUGCAAGCGUUAUCCGGAUUUAUUGGGUUUAAAGGGUGCGUAGGCUGUUCGGAAAGUCAGGGGUGAAAGCCCGGCGCCUAACGCCGGAACUGCCUUUGAUACUUCCGAGCUGGAAUACGGAUGCCGUGGGAGGAAUGAGUAGUGUAGCGGUGAAAUGCAUAGAUAUUACUCAGAACACCGAUUGCGAAGGCAUCUCACGAAUCCGGCAUUGACGCUGAGGCACGAAAGCGUGGGGAUCAAACAGGAUUAGAUACCCUGGUAGUCCACGCAGUAAACGAUGAUGACUAACCGUCGGCGAUGCACAGUCGGUGGCCAAGCGAAAGCGAUAAGUCAUCCACCUGGGGAGUACGUUCGCAAGAAUGAAACUCAAAGGAAUUGACGGGG
This 393-nucleotide ribosomal RNA is filed under the name uncultured bacterium. RNAcentral describes it as "partial 16S ribosomal RNA". It matches the Rfam family "Bacterial small subunit ribosomal RNA", at positions 523 to 918 of the family's 1533-position model. The record is from RNAcentral.